CAUCAGAUUUCGAGGUAAGGAGUGCCCCCUGGAGUUGUGCAAUGCAAAAUUUGCAUAACCAUACACCACAGCUCUGCUUCUUGGUCAUGGUGCCCUGGGGCCAUCAAGAAAGGCUCCAGCGAUGUCCAGUGUUAAAGAAGGCAGGGAGCUGCAGAAGCAUUUUAGAAAGCUUUCUAUCCAACCUGAUAAAAAUGAAACAUCUUCAAUAUGAAGACAUUUGCCGAAAAGCUCACUGGUAGGGAUCUCCCACUUCCUGGAAGGAGCUGGUUGGGUGGAGUGUUGCUAUAAUGUUGCUUUCUCUGUACUCAUUUAUUAUCUAUACCGCAAGUUCCUCAGGGGCUAGGAUAAAUAUGGUUUAGGUUUCUGCACCCCCAGCAGAGCCUGGCAGGCUUCCAGGUGUUGGCUGACCAACUCCACGUGCUGAAGGAGGCCGUGGUCCACUAGCGGGGGGAGUGAGCAGCUCUGCUUCCCCACACCAAUGUGGAGAAGGUGCCUAUGAAUCCAGAGCAGUAUUUCCUAGCCCAGCAUUUUAGCAGAAUUUGUUCUCUUUACUGGAAAAAUGCCAAUUUCCCCCAGAAUCAUAGAUUUUAGGGCUCGAGAAGGCCUUUGCCUCUGUUCACUGAUUGCCUCUGCCUUUAGUUUCAGGUGGAGCUCGGGAGUGAGGUGUCUCUUGUUCUGUGGGUUUGCAACGUCGACCGCACAUUAGAACCACCCGAGGGGCUUUCAAUAACACUGACGCCUGAGUUCCAGCUCCAGAGGUUCUGAUUUAAUUGAACUAGGGUGCGACUGGGACAGUCAGAUUUUUAAAAGCUUUCUAGGUGCUUCUAAUGGCAGCCAAGGUUGCCAUUGUCAAGGUCAAGGCAGAGUGCGCUUGACCUGAGGCUACUUGACAAGGUGGCUGCGUGGCCACUCGUCCGUUAGCCCAGGGGCUCUCAACCUUGACUGUACAUGAGAAAUCACUUGGGAGGUUUAAAAAGCCCAAGUGCCCAAGGCCACCUCCCAGGCCAGUUCAUGGGCAUCUCUGGGGUGGAUGUAGGAAUAUUUAGACCUCCCAGGUGAUUGUAAGGGGCAGGCAAGGUUGAUAACCACUGGGCUAUCCAGCUCCACAGCCAAGCAGAUGGUGCCACAAUGCAAAGCUCACUCCCAUCUCGGCCUUCCGGGGUCCUCUGAAGAGACCAAGGCAAACGAGGAGAGACACAAAGAGGGUGUGUCCUUGGACUCUGCUUUGUCCUCGGUGGGAGAUGACACCAAGACCAGAACUGGUCCCAGACCAAGAUGUGACCUGUUUCUUUCUCCUACCAUGAAAGGUGGACGAACCCCCUUCUCAAGAUGCAAUCUGAGAGAGAAGCCUGGGCCCUGCCAGAAAUGCAAAUAGCCGAAACAAGAGUUGACCGGCAACAAGAGCCCACUCUCCAGCUAUUUCUUCAGGAUGUGAAUGCGCCCACGAGAACCACUCAGCGUGACCAGGGAACACCAGAGACUCGCACGUCUCCCUGUGUGAAGGCCUGCUGGCCUCUCCCCUCCUCCACUUCCUAGACCGAUGAGCCUUCUGGAGAACUGGAGUGUUUAUGAUGCAUUGGACUGACCAGCAUAGAACAAAUGAUUCACUUGGGAAAGGUCAUGCGACAUGCGCUGAGUCAGUCCAGACGUUGGCUCCAGAGACGCAGCAAUCAUGUGUUACAGCAUGUUCCCAUGUUUUCUGUCGAGAGACAUAUGUGGACCUCAGACCACAGCUGUGUAAACGUGGAGCUCAGACAUAACAGCAGCUCAUGAGCGCCGUGCAUGCCUGUCCUCGUGCUUGGUGCUUUCCGUAUGCACCUUGUCAGGUCAAUAUUCACAUCCCAACGUAGAGAUGAAAAGACUUGGAGGGGAAGGAACUUGCCCUCUGCCACCCAAGUUUCUUGUUAUAGGAUUGAAAUUAAAAUCUGGAUCUCCUAGGCUCCAGAACCCAUCUCACCAAUAGGGUGUAGGGUGAGUAGUGCUAUCCUUUUGUGGGCACAUCUGCCCAAAGACUGGGCGUUCCUCAGUUUUGAAUAACUACAGGCAGGAUGAUGUUCUGAACUGUGAAUGCAUAUGGUACAGAACAUACUCUUAAAUGAAUCACGCGUGGUUUUCAAAAAAAAAUUCUCUACCUUUGACUUAUACUGUGACAUGCAAGUUCAAAUGACUCCAACUCUAUGGUCACUGUCUCGUACAUAGCCUCACCUCCUUUGGUCCCUCUUUGUUCCUUUGCAAUCACUUGGCAGAACCACUAUCCAUCUCCUUACCUGUUCCACACCUGCACUGGUGCACCUGCAUGUGGCUGGAGGAACCUACAACCGUCAUGUUAAGUGGUCGCCCUCGAAAUUCCGAUUGUUAUUCUCACACGGGCCCUGACAUGCUGCCCAAACAUUACCCCCAUUUCCUGAGGCCUCCUACUCAGUUUCACACCUUUUCCUUCCUCCUUUAACCAGUUACCUGCCUCUUGCCCAAAUGCACCGACUUCUUCUGUUAUUGUGUCCGUCCUCCUGUCUCGAGCCACCUUUCCCACGUGUGCACGGCCUCCAGUAAAAAUAAUGCUCACCUCUCCCCCUUUCUCUCCGGCAUCCUUCAUUUUUACUUUUCUACUGGAUCUCUCCUGUCAGCGAGAAAACAUGUUACGUCUUCUGUUUUAAAAACAAUCCCUCCUGGCUGGCAGCUCUUCCUUCUCUCCUCGCUCUUCAGAUUGCAGAGUCCAGCUCUCAUCUUGGGCUCUCUCUAUUCAGCUGCCCUCACUUCCCUACUGACUUUCAACUCUACAUUUUCAGGUCAGACUUUUAUAUAUCUAAUCGCCUUACAGGAAUCUCCUUUCAGAUGGGUGACAGGUAUCUCUCCUGAUCCCCAACCCAACCCCCAACACACAUGCACCUACACACACAUUUCCUGCUUUGUCUGCCGUCUUCCCAUCUCUCUCAGUGGCUCAGGCCAAAGACCUCGGAGUCACGCUUGACUUUUCCUUUCACAUCCCACUAAUCAGCACGUCUUGUUGGCACUGCCUUCAAAAUCUAUCCGGAACCUGGCUGCUUCUUGUCUCAUCCCUGCUUGCUAGUCCCCUGGUCCAAGUCCUCAUCACCUGUCCUACUGGCGUCUCUGCUCCCAUCUUUGGCUUCCAUCCUCCUUCUGUUCUUAACACAGCACCUAAAGCGAUUCUGCACAAACAUAGGUCAGGUGAUGUCCCUCCUCAGCCCAUAACCCUCGAUGGCUUUCCAUCUCACGCAGAGCAAAAGCCAGAUUUUCAAAUGGGCCCUCGGUGCUGCAUGACCUGACUUCUCCCUAUGUCCCUGAACUCGUCUGCUGCUCUCCCCUGGCUCAUGGCUGCUCCAGCCACACGCCUCCUCGCUGCUCUUCGAGCACCCCAGGUGUGCUCCUGCCACAGGCCUUUGCGCUUCUGUUCCUUCUGCCUGCAAUACUCUCUCCCAGAAACUGCAUCGCUCACUCGCAUGUUUGCUUCAGGUCUUUAGUCGCCUCCUCAGGGAGGCCCUCCCUGACUGCCGUAUUUAAAAUUAUAAUCCUUGAUACCCUCUAACCCGU
Long non-coding RNA from Rhinolophus ferrumequinum (greater horseshoe bat), 3549 nucleotides. RefSeq lists it as uncharacterized. NCBI's taxonomy places the organism in Eukaryota, Metazoa, Chordata, Mammalia, Chiroptera, Rhinolophidae. The record is from RefSeq and is a predicted model, not a curated record. The transcript has 3 exons.